CGGGACCUCAGGUCAGGC
RNAcentral lists this ribosomal RNA (18 nucleotides) under Swartzia latifolia. RNAcentral's name for it is "partial 26S ribosomal RNA". Lineage: Eukaryota; Viridiplantae; Streptophyta; Magnoliopsida; Fabales; Fabaceae. The record is from RNAcentral.